RNAcentral lists this long non-coding RNA (6790 nucleotides) under Sus scrofa (pig). Its description in RNAcentral is "lncRNA (ENSSSCG00015060469.1)". Lineage: Eukaryota; Metazoa; Chordata; Mammalia; Artiodactyla; Suidae. The record is from RNAcentral.
UUUUUUUCCAUAGUCUUUCUUUCCCUUUUCUAUUUUCUGAUAUAAAGCAAAGGACAAGACUUUAUAGUGAUUAAGAAGCAAACACAGCAAUUCCACUCAUGUUGCCAGGCAACAAGGGCCAUGGAUGUGCUGGAUGAAUGGAUUCCGAGCAUCUGCACGAAGAGAGAUAGAAGGAGCCCGGGAGUGAACUGUCGGGAGAGCCACAGAGGUUAGUACUUUUUGACACACAUGCUUCUGCAUUUUCCUGAGAAGGGAGAAGGCACAGUUAUUUUAAACCUUUCUGGUGGUUUAUUUUUCCAAGAUGUGUUGAAAAUUCUCCUCGAUGGGAAGUUGGCACGGUAUGCUGUAAUGAUCAUCGGCUCAAGAGGGGAAGUAGGUAAAAACGGCCUCUAUUUCCAUUUGCCAAUUUCAGGCCUGUACUACCUAUAACUCGGGCUAUUUCAACAGCCUCCCGCCUGAUCUCUGCGUGUCUUCUCCCCACCCUCACCAGUUCACCUCCUCUAACGGAGUCAUUACAAGGGGAUUUUCCGUCUCCUUAACAGCAACUCCCACCCACUGUGAUCGGCAUUUACCCUCCUCAGUUGUGGUGAAAAAUGUAACAUUGUUGACUAUAAUUAAGUCUGUUUUAUUUUGUUCUUAUUACAAAGCAAUGCGUAAUCAUUAACAAAACAGCAGAAAAAUACAGACACACAAAUGAGCAUCACCAUCCCUUAUCCUGCUCACCAGAGACCAGCACGGCAAAUAUCUCGGUGCUCACCUCUCUAGAUUAUCCUCUGCGCACACGCAGAUUUCUUUCUGAAAGAGCCGCAUGCCCGUAUACGCCAAGUCACAACAUGCCCCACAAACUCAAUAAGAGCCGAAAGGGUCCUCAAUGGAUUCCAUGCGAUGCUGCAAUUAUUUAUCUACUGCCAUAAAACUUGAAAUCGUUAACAGAAUAAACCACCAGUUAUAGAUAAUUUUACUAACCUUAUUGCAUACUCCUGCUCGUCUCCUGCACACAACCGUAAAUAUCUUUAUUAAGUCCCCAGUCCUACACCACUUUUUCCUUUCCAUUUUUACUAGUAUUAACCUAGUAAAAGCCUCUUCCCUAACUUCUUACAGUGAUGAAUUAUUUAGGACUCUUCGGUUUUACAUGUCAGAAGCCACACCUCCAAGGAGCUUAAGCCAAAGUGAAUGUAUGGCUGAGACAGGGCUGAACGCACAGCAGGACCCACACACUCAGACAAGGUCCGUGGGACAUGACCUCCCUCUCGCUGCCUCCCAGAAGUUCCCUCUUGUGUAACAGCUUAACUCUCGGGAAGGCUUUCCCCUAAAGGUGACCAGAUGGCGCGUCAACACCUCUAGGGCUCUGUGUUCUCAGGAAUUCCAGGUAAAGAGGAUUUCUCGGAUUUAGCCUGGGGGUCACGCGGACGAUACACACCUGAGCCACCUACUGAGGCCAGGGGCCCAGGGCUCUGAGGGGAGCCAAGCCUGGAGGACACGCCCACUCUGGAGCCUGGCGACAAAGUCAACCACACUCAAUGAACACAAGAGCCCAAGAAUUAGGAGGGGUCAUUCCCUAGAGCGAAAUCAGGGUGCUGUUACCAGGCAAAGGCGGGACAGGUGCUGGGAAGCCAGAAACAAUAACUAUUCACGACCGCUAGCCUCUGUGCUCCACUUGCUCCAGAUCCACUCACCAGCCUUCUCCGCGUGGCUCUGUGUGGGGAUCUUAUCAACCCGCUCCCUUUCCCCCCGGCUUCCGGUUGGGUUUAGUCAACAGCAGAGUUAAGUCAGAGCUCCAUUUCUUCUUGCUGGGCCAUCAGCUGGCAGAAGCUGUGUUCCGGUACCAAAGACCACGGCUGCUCAUGGGUGACCUGCUCCAGCCAGUUACAGAUCAUCCUCGGACUCUGGCAACACUUCUCUUUCUUUGCGCCUCAGACACAGGGGUGGUAACAGUCCCUGCUGUGUGAGAUCCAGGGCACGCCCUCAUCCCUCUUCUUCUAACCCUGCACACCUUUACCCCAUUCAUGUUAUUUUUCCUGGGGGACCGUGACAGCUGCAGCCUCCCAUUACCUUCAAUCUAUCUAACCCCAAAUCUGGUUAACCAUUAAAAUCCUCAGUCUAGAAAUAAAUGUGAACAUUGAAAGCUCAAGGUUAAGGGCCACUGCUAAUUUAAUACAAGUUACUAGUCACUGUUAUCUAGGCUUUGGCAAUCACAGAGAUAUAUUGAAGAUGGUAACACAUACUAGGAAUCCCAACCGCUUUCAUAUUUGUUUGAUUUAGUAGGUGUAUCUGGAAUAUACCUUGUAAAGGUUAUAUUGACUGCAAUUGAUCCAGCUUCCCUAGAAACAACUGAAGGAAGGAAGGGAAAGAUGGAGGAAGGGAUCUCAAAAAAAAAAAGAAAAAAAAGGAACAGGUAUAAAAAAUUCUGACUUUGGAGUCAGAACUAGGAAAUCGGUCUGGUUCUGCCUGUAAUUAGUUACAGGUGGACUUGGGACCACUGGGUCUUUCGCUGGAUCUCACUGUCCUGAUCUGUCAAACACUGGGAUUUAAUAAUAUAUUAAGUCUUAAUGAACAAAAAUUAAUGAUGCCUGCAAAGCAAAUGCAUUUACAAACAACAGUAAAAGAAAACAAAGAUAUCUCCCUAAGUUGGAUAAAAUUGUCUCUUUUGACCAAGAAAGCAAAAUUUUUUAAAACUAGGCCAUCAUUUAAGUUAAUAAUGGAACGGAAACCCAAGGCACUGACCUCGACUCAAAACGAAAUUGUUUUUUGUUCAGGUUCUUGCCUCAGACCAAAUUUUAUGUACAGACAACAUGGAGCUAUCACCAGACAUCUGCAGUGAAGCCCAAGAAAAGCACUAAUGAAGCCAGCAGGAGCCCACACAGCCUGGCCACGGACACAGAGCAAGAUCAGACAGACAGCUGGGAGUCCGCAGAGGAGCAAGUCCCUGGUCCAGUCUUGGUCCAGCCAAGACCGUGGGAGCUGGAGUAGGAAGAUCAAAAAAAAGGCCAAAGCAGGAAAUGAGCUGUAACUUGACAGAGUCACAAAAGAAAAUAGAAAAACAUGAAACAUAUCAGGUCCAAAGAAGGAGCUUGGAAAGUGUAGCCUGUUUAUUCAGAAAUGAGGCAGUUGAUAUUAUAAAAAGAAUUUUAAAAAAUGUUAAGCUCUGAGGUUUUUUUAUGCUAAAAAUACCCAUUAUAAAUAACCAGGUACAAGAACGGGCAAUAGACAAACUCGGUGUGGGAGGCUGAACCUGUCAGCAUAUUCGGGAAAAACAGAGAGAAAGACUUAGCGGUUUCUUCAGGGCAAGGUCAGGCCAGGUCAGGCCCCCUGUAACGGAGUCCAGGGGGAGACGGUGGAGGAAAGGCAGAGGCUGAACUAUCUGCGUUGACGGAACGGUUCUAAGUGAGUUGAUCAGCUGGGAGCGGCUGCCUCAAAACCUGUUCCCAAGGCUGGGACAUCACGGAAGGAGGACGUGGGAACAAAGAGCGGUAGACUGGGAGUGUCUGUAGUUGGGGCGAGAAGAGAGUGGUGGCUUUUUCAAGGGAUUUGUUGACCUUGGAACGGGAGUUCUAGAACUGCACUGUCUGUUAUGGUAGCCACUAGCCAUACGCAGACGAGAGCAUUUGAAGUGUGGCUAGUCCACAUUCAGAUGUGCUGUUAAGUGGGAAGUAACACAGCAGAUUUUGAAGACUACGUAUGAAAACAAAAUGUGAACAAUCUCAUUAAUAAUUUUUAUACUGAUUAUAAGCAGGAAUAAUAUUUGGGACAUGUUGAGUUUAAAAUAAAUUAUUAAAAUCAAUUUCAUUUUUCGCAGUUUCCUUAUUUUUAAAACAGUUACUAGAAAAUUUCAAAUCACAUUUGCAGCACAUUUGUGGUCCUCACUCCAUUUCAAGUGGAGAGAGCUGUUGUGUGAAGUCCCUUCCUCUCUCCAGGUUUCUGUGACACUAUGACAGUGGGGGAGACUCACUUAGCUCGCACUGUCUUUCCUAUCUCUAAGCCCAGCCUGGUUUCAGACUAAGAAAACCACAUGGGGACACAGCAUCUGUUGUAUCCACAACUCACACCCCCUCAAGAAUAUACAUCCCCUUAGAAGAACAGUCACCACAACCACCUCGCAUGUACACCGCGCACCAUGUGUGCACACAACCGUAUCGGCAUGUGUCUGAAUCAUGCCCACGAACAGGGAAGGAAUAUUAGCCGAAUCACGAGGUACAGUGAGGUCUGCAUUUCUACAGUCAACUGCAGUCAUUUGUUUGAAUGAGAGAGCUUCACCCAUGCUUGCUAAUCAGAGAGUUUCUCUGAAAUUCAAGAGGGUUUGUUGAACUUUGAGUCUUCUGUGUCCUGACUAGAAACCAGUUCACUGAAAGGCAAUCCUAGCGUUAGGUCUUCCACCUACGAUUAAGAGUUCCAGGGCUGCUGGUACGUAGCAGAGCGUGAAAACCAAACCUACUGGUUUUCAUUCCCUGGAAUGAGAACCUCUAGUGAUUCACCACAACGAGCUCUCAGGCUCUCAGUGUCCUCUCUGGACUUGGGCACUCUCGGAAUCCUAAGAGCCACCUGGUCCUUACGGCCUUGUCAAUGUCACUGGCACCUAUCACCUGGCACACUUACCUCUCAGUAUGUGCCAAAUGCAUCGAACUCCUGAUCUAAAGCGGGUUUGGUCCACCCAUAGUGACAGGAUAAUUUUACAUAAUGAUACAUUUGCACAAAAGUUUGCAUAAUGAUACAUUCUUACUUAGGAAAUAAAGGCUUUCCUUCACAUCUGCACUUUGAAAAACUCUUAACUAUUGAGGUCAGUCUCCUCUAAGUAAGGAUUUUGGCUCCUGUCCCGAACAUCUGCACCUUCAGGCUGUCGGACAGUCAUCUUCUUUCCUUUGGGACAGGAACGCCCCUUCCUGAGGUGACCAUCUCACGUCUGCUCUGGCGCCUGUGACCUGGUGGGACUGAGACUAUUCCCCCGCCUCUCAUCUCCAGGAAGAGCACAUUUAGUGUCCAGAGACAUAUGACACAAACCGCAGUGGUGCAGAGAUGGUUGCCCGGAUGUCAACGGGCGCAGGAGACGUGACCGUGGGACUCUGACAGGAAGGAGACCUUGGUUUCAUCAGCCGAGAGGAUGAACGCCUGCGACGUCAAGGCAUCGCUUCACGGAAAGGUCCUGCUUCAAGAGGACGGGAGAGCAGACAGAGCAAGUCCAAGGAUCUUGUCUGAGGCCCUGGUCCAGCUGCUCCUGAACUCUGCAGUUCUCAGCAAGCUAAUAAAUUCUCACUGUUGCUUAAGCUUCUUUUCAUUGGCUUGAAAACGGAAGAAUCCUGACUAACAGCACUUUACAAUUUAAGUGCUACCUGGAUAAUGUCUAUUCUCCCUGUAUUUCAAAGGCAGCUUCUCAAGAAGUCUUUCUUGUGGCUGUGUGCUCCCCCUAAAUUUCUUUUUAUUUUAUCCUUUUCAAAUAAACGCUCCAUAGGGCACAUUAUCCUUAUUAGAACCUGCCUUGAAGAUCUGGUCCAUCCAUAAUCAAGAACAUUCAAAGGUCACUGCAAUAAUUCAUGCUGGGUCACUGACAGCACUCAGUGUCAAGCCAUCCUUACUGCUCACUUGGAUCGUAUCCCAGCUCUGGGCUCUUGGCUUCAGUAUGGAUCCUGAGACCCAGCUGCCAGUUUACUUUCUAGCUGUGACUGGUAACAAAAUGCACCCUGUGUCUCUUACUCUUGUGACAAUGGCCCCAAACCCCAGUCACUUUGGCAGCAGAGGUCUCCCUCGCCGUUCUUCCCAUCAGCCGCUAGCACACCUUGCAAAACUUCCCUAAGGACAAUAAUCCAUAUGGUUUUGAAAUAGUCAACUCUCAGACUGCCCACUGCUGUGGUACAAAUAUUACUGUUUGCUGAAUUUGCCUGAUACCAGCUGCUUAUCAUAACAUCACUGUAUGGACUAAUAUUUCCAUUAUGUACUCGUUAUGUUUCUCCAUGUCCUGAUGGAUCAUUUGUCCUUAGAUCUCAGUAGCUGCCUUUCCAUAGAUCCCAACGUAGGACAAAUACCUAGGUUUAUAUCACGAUUCUCUGCUUAUAUUUUAGGAUCUUACAGCGUCGCUGUCUCCAUGCUGAUAUACUUACGAUACUCUCAUGUGCACUUCCUGCCCAACGUAUAGCGAAAAACAAAACAAAACACUGGACAAAGAAUCAAAACAUCUUGAUUCUAAUUUUGGUUCUGUCAUAUAUCAGUUGUAUGACUUUAGGAAAAUUGUUUAUAACUUCUCAAAUCUUCAUUUCCUUUAUCCGUAAGUUAGGUUAAUAAUACUUGCCCUGUUUUGCUGGAUGUGAAAGCACAUUGUAAACUUUAAAAUACCAUGUGAAUAAACUAUUACUAGGAGGCCCUCUCACGAGCCAGAACUCUUAGACUUUUCUGCAACCACAACCAACCAGACAUACUGUGGACAGCUGGUGACCACUCGUCAAUCCACAAAUGUGUAUGCAAGCAGUCCUAAAACCCACUUGUAAAAGGGAAAUGUUUGCCAGUGAAGUCAGCGAGGUGGUCAGGAGAGAUGAAAAUACUGAGAAAAAAGAAGCGGUAGGAAAUGAUGGGGCAUAAAUGAGAGGAGAAACGCUGGACAGAGUGGAAAGGCAAGAGAACCGCGGAGACAGGUGACCGGGAUGCAAGAUGACCAGCCAGUAACACAACGUCCAAGAGCAAGAGGAGUGGAAAAGGCAGCAGCGCACAGGAAAAGGUGACAGAGCAGACAGGCCUCCGUCGUUCUUAAACAAGAAUUAUCUGCCUGGGAAACCCAGGGACUGAGAUGGAAAGGGGUUCUGUGCUC